This 290-nucleotide long non-coding RNA is filed under the name Sorghum bicolor (sorghum). RNAcentral describes it as "long non-coding RNA (SBIC_LNC002083)". The record is from RNAcentral. Lineage: Eukaryota; Viridiplantae; Streptophyta; Magnoliopsida; Poales; Poaceae.
UUUGGAGGAGCUCCGAAGAUGUGGUGCCACUCGUGCAAGGAAGGGUACGACGAGGAGGAUGCCGGGACCUGCAAGGAGUGCUACGACGAGGCCAGCGAGACGGAGGAGGAGCUCAAGCGCGAGAUCGAGGAGCUCCGCUCCCGCCUCCACUUCCUCCGCCUCCCGUCCCCCACCCUCGACGCCGCAUCCGCCCCCAACUGCGACCUCCUCCUCCACGCCAUCCCCUCCUGCCCCUCCUCCUCCGGCGCGGGAGGCGACGGCGAUGCUGCGCGCACCCCCGACACACCCGC